Molecule: ribosomal RNA, 653 nt
Filed under: bacterium TN5C
Lineage: Bacteria
Description: bacterial SSU rRNA
Rfam family: Bacterial small subunit ribosomal RNA
Source: RNAcentral
GUACGGCCGCAAGGCUAAAACUCAAAGGAAUUGACGGGGGCCCGCACAAGCGGCGGAGCAUGCGGAUUAAUUCGAUGCAACGCGAAGAACCUUACCAAGGCUUGACAUGAACCGGUAAUACCUGGAAACAGGUGCCCCGCUUGCGGUCGGUUUACAGGUGGUGCAUGGUUGUCGUCAGCUCGUGUCGUGAGAUGUUGGGUUAAGUCCCGCAACGAGCGCAACCCUCGUUCUAUGUUGCCAGCGCGUUAUGGCGGGGACUCAUAGGAGACUGCCGGGGUCAACUCGGAGGAAGGUGGGGACGACGUCAAAUCAUCAUGCCCCUUAUGUCUUGGGCUUCACGCAUGCUACAAUGGCCGGUACAAAGGGUUGCGAUACUGUGAGGUGGAGCUAAUCCCAAAAAGCCGGUCUCAGUUCGGAUUGGGGUCUGCAACUCGACCCCAUGAAGUCGGAGUCGCUAGUAAUCGCAGAUCAGCAACGCUGCGGUGAAUACGUUCCCGGGCCUUGUACACACCGCCCGUCAAGUCACGAAAGUUGGUAACACCCGAAGCCGGUGGCCUAACCCUUGUGGGGGGAGCCGUCGAAGGUGGGACCGGCGAUUGGGACUAAGUCGUAACAAGGUAGCUGUACCGGAAGGUGCGGCUGGAUCACCUCCU